UGAUUGCAGAUUCAUUCAGAACCAAAAUAAAGUUCAGUAAUUUCAAAGCAAACAAGUUAACAUUUGACAGUGAAUCUAAUUGGACCUGCAAAUAUUUUAUAAUUUUAUUAAGCCUCAUAAAAUGAUAUUUAAACAGUUGGUACAAUAACCAGUUACAAUUGACAUUGGUACAAAUCUCUCAGCAUGUAUUGUUCGGGGUUGAGGGGGGUGGAAUACACCACUUUAUUAUAAUGAAAAAUAAUUGCUUAAGAGAACAUGAUGUAGUGUGUUUUUAACGUGCAUGACUAAGCUGCAGGUUCCGUACAUUUGGAGUGAAUGGGUUGAUGAUGCUUGAUGCCAUUUCCCUGCAAUUGGAAUUAUCAAGGUGAACUAGGCUUUCCCACCGUCUGUAAGGAGGAGCACGACUAUUUCGAUUGCUAUGGGAAUGGGGAAUUAGAGGAAUGCAGAAUUUCCUCUGCAACGUUAAGCUGAAGGAGUUUAUAAUGUUAGAAAGGGAAAAGGCCUUUAUUUGAUGUGAUUUCAUACCGGAGUUGUUGACUGGGAGAAAUUUAAUCCAAGACCUGAGUUAGUGGAUGGGUAGGGGUGUGGUAAAGGUCCCACAGUUUCGGAUGACCUGCAGUUUAGAGGUUGGAAUUUAGUGGUCAAAAGGAAAAAAAUCUGACAUCGUUGAAUGGUGCCGACAAAGGCGUGAAUGUGGAUUUUUAGGGCAAUAAUUAACAACGUUAAGAAAAUAACCUACUUUCCCUAAAGCUCCUGCAGCCGCCAUCUCCUGGUGCAUACACAGAAAUGCACAUGAUGCUCGCCCCGACCAGCAACCUUGAGCGUCUCGAAGCCCUUCCCGCACAAACAGCAUGUUUUUUUUUGUGUGACCACUCCAGAAACCAGGGUAAUCAGUUAAAAUCCAGCACUUAUAUUAAGGUUUAAAAAACAAAUUAAUCGAACAGAAAACGCUUCCUCGAACAUUUUAAAUACUUAUUUAAUAACCCAUCGCACUUGCACGUUAGCAAAGUAGCGAACUACAUAGUGUAUUACAGUGAAAUAUCGCAAACAUCGAUUGGCAAAUAAUUUUAUAGAUGGCUAAAUAUGUGCACUCAAUGAAAUUCAGUCCUGGGUAAAGUCCGUGAAUGGACAGGGUAAACAUCUUUAAUUUUAAAGUAACAUGCCUUCAAUCGAUGUGCAGCAUAUCCCGCCCAGUGACAGACGAAGAAAACUGCCAUAACUAUAAAACAGGAGACCCACCCCCUCCACCUUCGAACUGCCCUUUUCUUAUAAAGCUACUAUCGUUCGGAAGUAUGAUCCCAGUCCUACAAACAAGGAAAUAUGGAUGCUCUUUCGGGCGGAGGGGAAGACUCCAUUAAUUAUGCAGGUCAUACAGAUUACUUGAAAGGAUGUUGUUUUCAACCAUCUCAUGGGAGGAAGGAUUCGAGGGUUGAUGUGCCUGUACCAUUUUGUUCGGAGAGAUGGAAUUUGGGGGUUCCUACUGGAACGAUGCUUUGCUCUGCUUGUCUUGUGUUCUGUUGGAUAUUGGUCUUCUGUUGAGAUCCAACAAGUCACUGAUAACCAUGUCAUUUGUGGAAAAAGAUACUAUUGUUUCGGGAAAAGAUGUGCAUUAUGUGGUAUGUGCUAAUUGGAGGCCUAUAGGUGUGAGAGAAUAUUGUAAACCUAGAGAGACUGGCCUCCUACGACUUCUUCCUGUGAAACAAGUGAAGUGCCAAAUUUAUGGUAAUUUGACUCUUGCAUCCCUGAUCUCAGUGUAGUGUUUGUAAAUCUUCCUCAUUCUGUUCCAAUUGAACAAGAUGUUGUUACUGCCCCCUAGGGAUGAGGAUAUACUUUGUAUAUUUUAAUGGGAAUAUUGAGGUGAAUCAUUGGAUCUGUAUAAAUUUUCAUAUUUUAGUAAUUGUGGUAAUAUUAGUUUUAAUCAUCCAAUGGAUAUUAAUAUGUAUUGUAUUAUUAAUGUUAAUAUUAAUACAAACCAGAUCCCCAGCUAUGGGUAGAUAGCCCCACAGCCUCGGGAGAGACAAAGGCUACAAGCGUAAACCCAGACAGAAAAUCCGGAGUGGCUGGAUGUCACUGAACAUCCUUCCAGCAGCUCUGACAGCCAAUCUAGUGCCAAGCGCGUUGUUUGGCUUUCAUUUGGACUUUCCUUGAGGCCGAGGGGAGGGUCUUGACGACCGAGCAUCCCAAGAUCUCUUUACUCCAGUGCCAUUGUUCGUUCCAUUGUCCUUCGAGUCCAAUGGAUGGCAUCAUUGUCGUCUUCGUUUUAAGCAGAAGGAAGAGUUCAAUGAGUCUUUAUUCUGUCCAGACAUUCAAAGGCUGAAAUGUGUUAUAUUGAAUUUUUUAAAAUAUUGGUUGAAUGUCUGAACAGUUCAAAAUGAUAAUUCAGUGUUUUGUGAGCUUGGAGCAGGUAAUAUAGAGUGUCUGUUCAAGAUAAACACUGUAGGACUGUUAAUGACUGCCGGUGGAUUUUUCUUAGUGUCGGUUACCAUUAACAUCAGUGUGAUAUCCUGGUUUAAGAACAUGCUUUAUUGUAUUAAUGCUAUUGGGUUUUUUUUCCUGAAGAUUUUCUCAAAAUGCAAUGUGUUCCGUUAAUUACAUUGUACAAUUGUUUUUGCUGUUUAAAAUAAUAAUUCAGUUGAUUAAGUUAAGGUUGCUGUAAUAGCCAAUAGGAUUUAUCUUGUUAACAUCUUAUCCAGUAAGAUGCCCCGGAAUGUUCUAGAGGGAUCUGGGGAUAGCCAUUUUCUGGAGAGAGUGCAGGAGUUUUGGAAGAAGAAGAUGAAGGAGAAAGAAUGAAAAUGGACAACAAAUAUAAUAGAAGAACAUGAACUCAUUUGGAAGGGCACGUACUGCUGUCAAAAAAUCCUCUUGCAGUUGGACAAUAGUCUCACAGAGAAUGUGCAGGUAACUUUUAAUUAGCUAGUUAUCACACAACCUCGGAGAAAGUUCGAUGCCUUAGACAUUGCUUGGAUGUUUAUGUUUCGCUUAGACUAUGUUUUCAGGCAGAAUUGUUUGGUACUGUGAGCAAACGAAGUGAAGCAAGCAGGAUUGAUUACGCAACAAUGUGCUCCAUUGAUCAUGUGAACACUAUAAGCUAAUUAAUAUAUGUGUAAUAGGCCUUUUUCUUUAUUAUGUUUGUUACAGUUUAAAAUAUUUGUCAAUACAACUUUAAGCUUAUACUGGUGUGAGUUAACUUAUUGCUUCCUGACUAACAGUAAAUGUACAUGGGUAUGCCAGUAUUCAUCCAAAUAACAGUCCAACUUUCCAUUAAAGGAACUUUCAAACUUCUAUGUUCGUUUGCAUUCACAGUACUAGCUAAUUCAUUAUGAGCUUCCGGCGAGAUGGUUACAUGAGGAUGUCUGUUAAUGACUAAAUGUCUGUUGUUGGUCAUUUUGACAGCUAGGUUGAUAGAUUGUUUCUUAAGGUCUGUCAAACUGGCUUGAUGGAUUUAUUUUUGCAUUUGGGCUUAUCGCUGAUAUGUAAUAUUAAUGUUCUUCUGUAACUAAAUGAAUGUUAAGUCCAAAAUAUUGGUGGCAGGGUGGAUAAAGAGUGACCAAUAAAGUGUCUAAUUGAUCUUAAGGGUAUGCUGAACACUGUGGUGAUACUUGAGUUGCUUGAAUGAAAGAAACCAGGCUGAGUUAACGGCAUGAGAACAAAAGAUCAAAGAGUUUGUAUGUCUCUCUCUGUAGCUCAUUUAUUGGGGUACCUUUCUUUCGGUUCGUCAGACUUCAUCUAGACCUGGAAUCGCGAUCUAGGACCCAAGGUGGUUUCAUGAGUGAGUCAGAAUUUGGAGUUCCCUUGACAACGGUAACAAUCGGUGGUGACUAAGAAUCUUGAGCCCUGAAAUUUUUGUGACUUAUUAUGGAAUAUUUUCUGAGGUUCACUUGUACAUUUUGUUUUAUAAUAAAACGUGUUUUCUUCAUUGUGCUUGUGCACUUAUUACCACAUCUCCUGGGCACUCAAAUUAUUUCGGUCUAAUCAACCCCAAUCAUUACAGAUGCUUUUGAUAAGGCUUCGAUAAAAAUUGGUAAGGGUUGAUGUGGUUAUGCCAAAUUUCUUUGAUCUCCUGAGGAAGUAGAGGCAGCUAGUGAGCUUUCUUGGCUGUGGCUGGCCCAACAAAGGUAAUGCUCACUUCUAGGCACUUAAAUCUCCCUCUUGGCCUCAGCAGCCUUGAUGAAGACAGGAGCAUGUGCAGCACCCACUUUCUUAAGUCAACAAGCAACUAUUUUGCUUUCAUUAAAGAUUUUGCAUCUUCAAUAAAUUUACCUGUAGGUAACCAGCUGUUCCAGUUCUGAUGAAAGGUUAUCAUCCUGAAAUAUUGACUUCUAUGUAUUGACUUCUAUGAAAUCUUGACUUCUAUUGACUUAUAUGAAUAGAUUAUUAUUGAUUUUUAUGAAUGUUAGUUAUAAUUUACUGUCUUUACAUGUGCUAUCAAAUCUGCUGAGGAGUUCCAUUUCAGAUUUUCAGCAUCUGCAUUGUUUGCUUUGCACAAUUCUGGUACUUUGACUUUCUUUUGCCUUUUUUUUUCAAUGCUCUAUGUUCUCUGUUUUCAUUAAUGUCUCAUUUAGGCUUCCUCCUAUCAACUGUGGUUAUGGAGCCAUUUAAAAGCUGAAACCACUGCCACUCAUGUCAUUCAGUCUCAGCUGGUCUCUACCCUUUCGCAGACGUCCUCUUUGUUUUCUUUCUCCAGCCCUCUCCCUCUUCCUCAAAUGCUGCCCGACCUGUAGAAAUCCCCAGCUUUUAUUUCAGAUUUCUGGAAUCUGUAAGCUUUUGGUUUUCAACAACAACAACAACAUGAAUAUGUGGUGACUGGCUACAGAGGAAAAGCAUAGAGGACAUUGCCAUGAUUAAAUGCUACAUUGUCAGGGCAAAUCAAAGACCGUGGCUAACCGCAAAGGUGCAUGAACUGCUAAGGAAUUGGGACACUGCCUUUAGAUCUGCAUUCUCCUGUACCAUCAGGAAGGCAAAAUGUGAGCAUGCCCCUAAAAUUCAGCCACCUUUGUGACGCCGGGAACACACUGCACAUGUGGCAAGGUAUACAAACCACGAACGAUUACAAGUCCACCUUGUGAGUCAACACCCAUGCCUCCCUUCCUGAUAAGCUGAACGCUUUCUACGCAUGAUGUGACACUGAGGAAAGCCCCCUCGCUUCCCAAGGAACAGGCACCCUGACUGGCCACAGCAGAGGAGAGUAGGAUCCUAGCCAGGGAAAACCCAUGUAAAGCUGCAGGGCUGGACAACAUUCCUAGUCAGAUGCUGAGGAACUGUGUGGCCCAGCUAACAGAGGUUCUGACAAAUAUCUUUAAUAUCUCUUUGAAACGGUCCACUGUCCCUGCAGGCUUCAAGGCACCCACCAUCGUUCUGGUGCCCAAGAAAGCAGAGGUAACUGGAGUAAAUGAUUACCUCCCAGUGGUACUGACUUCAACAAUUGUGACGUGGUUUGAGCAGUUGGUAGUGAAUCAUAAAGUCCCACCUUCCAGUUGGACCCUUUCCAGUUGCCUACCGUUCAAACCGCCCACUGACAAUGCCAUAACCUGGACCCAGCACUACAUCCUGAUCCCCUUAGAAAACGACGUCUCAUACGCCACGGUGUUGCUCAGCUCAGCGUUUAAAAUAAUCACCCCUCAGAGGCUGCUGAGUAAACUGUCCUUGUUUGGAAUCAACACUUCUCUCUGUAACUGGAUUGUGGAAAGACCCCGGUCAGUUUGAGUUGGCAGCAACAUCUCAAGCUCCAUCACACUCUGCACUGAUGCUACCCCUCACGCCCCCAGGGUUGUGUGCUCAGUCGGCUGCUGUUCACGCCGCUGACUCACAACUGCAUUGCCAGAGUCGACUCAAACUGUAUCAUCAAGUUCACUGAUAAUACUACAGUGCCUGGCCUCAUCAGCAACAAUGAUGAGUUGGCACACAGAAAGGCUUGUCAAAUGGUGUGAGAAUAACGACCUUGGUCUCAACAUGGACAAGACAAAAGAGAUGAUUAUGAGCUUCACAAAUUCGUAGGUCCAUUGCACAUCAAUGGCUCUCCCGUGGAGAGAGUGAGGAGCAGAAAUUCCUUGGUAUGCAUAUAAUGGACAAUCUAACCUGGACUCAUUGUUCUGCCUUUGGAGACACAAAGACUCAGCAGGGCCUAAACUUACUGAGGAGAAUGAGGUGUGCAAGGCUUCCUGCCCCCAUUCUGCAGGAGCACCAUCAAGAGUGUCCUGUCCGGUUGCUUCAUUGUGUGGUACAGAUGGUACAGGUACACACUUAUGAGGACAGUAAAAAUUACCGAGAGCAUCAUCAGGUUCUCCCUCCCAUCUAUUUGUUUCAUUUACUGAUGAAGAACCCAAUACAGUGUUGAGGACCCGUACCACCCAUCCUACAAUCUCUUUGACCCACUACAAUAAGGUUCAGAAGCAUCAGGUCUAGGACUGUCAGACUGGGUAACAGCUUCUUUCCUCAGGCUGUGAGACUAAUGAAUGCCCUCCACCACUGAGUCCUCAUCACUAGGAUAGUAAGCUGUUUAUUGUUUACCUGUGCUGUGCUUUACUACAUGCAUUUUGAAUUGUAUGUCAUGAACUUAUUUAUAGUAUAAUAUUCUGGUUUAUGUGCAGUGUGUGAUAGUACUUUGUGUGGGUGCAGCAUGGUCCGGAGGAAUGCUGUUUCAUUUGGUUGUAUACAUGUCCAGUCAGAUGACAUUAAACUGGAACUUGAACUGAACAGAAGCAUUGUGGCAAAUAUCCAAAAGUAGUUCAUAAGAAUAUUAACACUAAAUCUUUACUUCUUCCUACAUAAGAAGACAUUUGGACAGUAAACCAAAACACUUUGGUGACUGGAAUCAUGUCUUCCACAAAGAAAAUGGGCAUAGUUGUAGGAUUUCAAUUAUCCAACCCAGGACAUCGCUGCAGGAGUUCCUCAGAGUGAAGCUAUAGGCCUGAACACCAUCUGCUGCUUCUCCAUGAUCUGAGGUCAGAAGAGGAGAUAUUCACAAUGUUAGCACAAUGUUAAAUCCUGUUCACAAUUCCUUAGGAAUAAAGCAGCCCAUGACUACAUUCAACAAGACUUGGACCAGCAUUCUGGUAUGGGUUAAUGUUUUCUGCCACAGAAGUCCCAAACACGAGAAAGUCUAACCAUUUACUCUUGACAUUCAAUGGCAAUUCCAUCAACAAGUCUCCACCAUCAACUUCCUGGGAUAAAUAUUAACUGAAACAGGACCAAAUAAUUAUUGUGGCUACAAAAGCAGACCAGUUACUUUUUAGACUGCACCUCCAAAAAACCUCGACCUUUAACACCAAGAUGGUCAAGGAUUAUAAGAACACCAUUAUCAUCUAACUUUUGCCUAGGUCACCUAUGCCAAAAAGGUCAAAGGGUAGAGGCCAAAGUAAGAGUGGUCCACCAGUCCUCCAGGGAUUCAGCUCAGGGCUAACAACCCUGACUGGUAAAACAAAAUUGUUAUGGAAACAGGAAUGAAGAAUCCUUCUACAUCUGUGCGAGAUGGUAUUCCUGAAUCUCCACCCGGGACUUGUAUGACUGACAAUAGUGAAAACCGAGAGGAAACUGCUGACAUGAUGAAUGAAGCCCUGAAUGCUGCCAGAGAUAGAGGACCUUCAUUGCUGCCCUGAACACCAAUGACAUAAUGGGCAGGAAGUACAUAAGAAAAUAAUAAAUAAUUUGUAUUUUACUAGCAUCUUUAACACCAGUGAACUUUCCAAAGGGCUUUGCAAGAGUGAAGUAUCUAUUGUCUAGCAAAAACAGUUAAUUUAGUCACAAAUUCUUUUAUGUAGCGUAACGUUUUUCUGCACUAGAUUAUAUUUAGAACACUAAUCACACAGCAUACCUUAAGGAUUUACUGGUUCUCUGAUAUCCACGUAUUUUGUUUCUCUGAGUGUUUAACACACUGCCAGAUACAUUAGCAUUUGGUUAUGUGCAGUGCUAUAUAAUGUAUAACUGGAUGUGACUGUCAUAAUUUUUAUUGAUACGUGCUUCAUGUAUGAAUCAAUGAAUCCAAUGAACAAGUGUACAGUUGGGCCUCACAUUCUGUAUGUCUGCUGCAGGCAAUUUGCAUAAAAGCAAAACAAUACAAUACAUCUACAGUUGGCUUGGUGCAAAUUUGCUGAUGAUACAACCAUUGUUGGCAGAAUUUCAGAUGGUGACGAAAGGGUGUACAGGAGCGAGAUAUACCAGUUAGUUGAGUGGUGUCACAGCAAUAAUCUUGCACUCAGCGGUAGCAAGACCAAAGGAUGAUUGUGGACUUCAGAUAGGGGAAGAUGAGGGAACACGUUCCAAUUUUCAUAGAGGAUCAGAAGUAGAGAGAGUGAGCAGUUUCAAAUUCCUGGGUGUCAAUAUCUCUGAGGACCUAACUUGGAUGCAACAUAUUGAUGCAGCUAUAAAGCAGGCAAGACAGCAGCUGUAUUUCAUUCGGAGUUGGAGGAGAUUUGGUUUGUCAACUAAAAUAGUCGAAAACUUCUACAAAUGUACCGUGGAGAGCUGCAUCACUGUUUGGUAUGGGUGAGGGCUAUUGCACAAGUUUGAAGUAAGUUGCAGAAACUUAUAAAAUUCCUCUGGGUUUUUUGCGCUACUUAUUUUAACUUAACUAUUUAAUAGAGAUAUAUAUACUUACUGUAGUUCAGUAUUUUUAAUUUAUAUUUACCAUUUAUGUCAUUGUUCUGCUGCCAUAAAGUUAACAAAUUUCAUGACAUAUGCUGGUGAUAUUAAACCUGAUUCUGCAUUAAAAGAGACUCUGCCUGUGUCCAGCAGUAGCAAAUCCAAUAAACCUACCCCCUCUUUGGUUUGUUCAUAACACUGACUGCUUCACAACUCUGCACUCUGCACCCCAACCCAUCCCCAAGUGACUACCAUUUAAACCCUGAGUAGGUGAACAUCAUAGAUUCUGCAGACACUGGAAUUCCAGAGCAACACACACAAGAUGCUGGAGGAACUCAGCAGGUCAGGCAGCAUCUUUAGAAAUGAACGGUCAACAUUUCAGACUGAGACCCUUCAUUGGCCCUGUUUAUUCCUCUUCACAGAUGCUGCUUGCUGAGUUCCUCCAGCAUUUAGUAGGUAAAUGCAGCUUUGCCCAUCAAUUUUUUGAUCCAUUUUGGGUCAUUUCUUUUCCCUGACUCUAACCCUUCUCUAACCAUCUCUCUCCAUGUGAAUCAGAUAUAUGCAAUCUAUCAAUUUUAAUUCACUAUGUUCACAAUGUGUUUCAUUGUGCAUAUUGCCUAGGGCCUUAUGUAUAAAGAUGUGUUACUAAGAAAACAUGCCAUGCACUGCUUGUUUAAUGGACCCUUCCAGACAUGAAAGGAUUUCUUGACCGGAAUCUAUUUAAACAGCAGAGAAACAGAACUUAUUACAGAAGCUGCAACAGCUCUCAUGACAUAAGGAUAAUUUAUACAGAAAAAUCCAAUGAUUUAUUUACAAAUUACUGUAUAGGCAUGAAAUUAAUCUCAGUCAUUUGCAGCUGUCCUGAUUGAAAGGGAAAUUAACACUAUCAUCUCAUUUGUGCCAGGGACCAGCAUCACUUUCAAAUUCAAAGUUCAAAGUACAUUUAGUAUCAAAGUAUAUUACAACCUUGAGAUUCAUCUCCUGACAGUUGGCCAGAAAACUAAGAAGCCCAAAAGAACACUGUCAAACACCCAAUGUGCAGAGGGAAUAAAGCGCGUCAUGGAAACAAUAAAACCAAGCAAAUAGAUCACAGACUCUUAGUUCAGUGUAGAGCGAAGCAGUGAGCUGAACCGGCCCAUCCCUCACCCUGGCACCCUGUUCUUUUCAAUCUGGCUGGGCAACUAACUCUGGGGCCUGGUCCCCAACGCCUCUCUUUGGCCUUUACCCAGCCUUUUCAAUAUGGCCCGGCACUUAAAUUGUCAUCCAAAUGUCAGAGUUCAUUGAUUCAUGCUGGGGCCUGGACCCCUCUGCCUCAACUCGGUCUGUACGCAACCUUUCCGAUUUGGCCCAGCGCUUAAAUCAUUGUCUAAGCAUUGGGUUCAGUCGCUUGCAUAUGCUCUGAUGCUUGGACCUCAUCACCUUGACUCGGCCUGAGCCCAAUCUUUCCAAUUUGGCCCAACGCUUAAAUCGAUCGAACCUUGAGUCUUUCCUCGCUCUUGGCGACAGACCCACUGCCUCGCCUUGCCACAUCAAAUUGAUCAUAACUCUUGGAUUUCAAAAUGGAGACACAAGAAAGGCAGCAGACACUGCAAUGCAGAAGCACACAAAAAGAAAGUGCUGGAGGAACUCAGGAUGAAGAGUCUUGGCCCAAAACACAGAUUGUUAAUUUCCCUCUAUAGCUGCUCCCUAACCGUUUAAGUUCCUCCAGCAUGUUGUUAUUUUUUAUUGUGCAUUGCUCCACAAUUGCAAAUCUGUUUUGAUACAUUUAUGGCACUGUCAUCAAAUGACCUAAAAUCUAGAGAGAAAAAGAAAUAUAACGUUCUAUUGUUAGGAUGAAACAAGGUGGGAGUCAGCUCACAUAGAGUUAACUGUUCUCUCCUGUAAAUCUUAAAUAUGAAAAUAAUGAUAAUGAUUAAGAGCUCAUUUUCCUGUCUAUUUUAGCACAUUUUGAAAUAUUUCUGUUUAGAGAGUAACGGGACUAACAUGAUUGAAUGAUGUCAGUAGGUGAUAUGAGGUACAGUAUCUCACUUUAAAAUGUGAUUUAAGGCUGUAUGACAAUGCACCAACUCAAAUUCCUAUUUAGAGCAUGUCAUCUAGUAGCCUGAAGUGGCUAUAAUCAAUUAUAUACCAAGUUGGUAGCACGUCUACGCUUAUUAUUAUUUGCAUCUUUUGCAGUCUUUCUUUAUCAGUGAAACAAUUUCUUCCCCUCAUGGUAAGUAUCAACAAAAAGUAAACCAUCAUUUAUGGAUUCAUUUUGCAACUGUCAACAAAGCAUCAUAAAUUCCCCAUGAUACAAACUACAAUACAUAAUUAUAAUAACUGUUCAAUAUCUACCUCCCUCACCUCUGAAUCAGAAGGUUGCGUUUUCAAAUCUAGCUUCAACACCUGUGGAGAAACAUCAAGAUUUCCAUUCUAUUGUAGUGCUGAUGCAAGACUGUCAAGAAAUGCAUUACUUUUAUCUGUACAAUUAAAUCCAGAUGUCUGCCUAUCCAUUCAGGUGGACAUAUAAUGUCCCAAGCUACCAUCAAGACCAAGAGCAAGACAAUGUUCUGGCCAAGUUUACCAUCUUUAAUAAACAGGAAAUUCCGGAAGUAUUCAUCAGGGCAGGCGAUACCUGUGAAAAGAGAAACAAAGUUAACAUUUCAGGCCCUUGAAAUUUAAACUUAUAUAUAUUCCAUAAAGUUCCCUGAUCAUAUUUGGAAAGAUGUUGGAGUGCAUUAUUAAGGUUGAGGUUUCGAGGUACUUGGAAGUACAUAUAAAGUAGGCCAAAGACAGCAUAGUUUCCUUAAGAAUUUCAACAGAUAUAUCUGUUGAAAUUCUUUGAGGAAAUAUAGACAGGAUAGACAAAGGGGAGUCAGUGGAUGUUGUUCACUUGGAUUUGCAGAAGGCUUUUGACAACAUGCUGCAUGUGAGUCUGUUUAACAAAGUAAGAGCCCAUGAUGUUACAAGAAAGAUACGAGCAUGGAUAGAAGGUUGGCUGGAGGCAAAGAUUGGAAAUAAAGGGGGGAUUGUCUAGUUGGCUUCUGGAGACUAGUAUUGUUCCACAGGAAUCUGUAUUGGGACUACUUGUUUUCAUAUUAUAUGUCAAUGAUUUGGAUAAUGGAGUUGAUAGCUUUGUGGCCAGGUUUGUGGUUGAUACAAAGAUAGGUGGAGUCAGGAGGACUGCAGAAGGACUUAGUCUUCUGGUUUAAUGGUGCCAUAAAAACAACCACUCAUUCAACAUCAGCAAAACCAUGAAGCUGGCUCUAAACUACAGGAGGAAGAAUCCAGUGGCCCAUGAGCCAGUCCCAUUAGGAAAUCAGAGGUGGAAAAGUUGACUAACUUUAAAUUCCUUGGCGUUAUCAUAUCAGAGGAUCUGUCCUGGAACCCACAUGUAAGUGCCAUCACAAAGAAAGCACAGCAGCACUUCUACUUUCUUAGAAGUUUGUGCAGAUUUGGUAUGUCAUCUAAAACUUUGACAAACUUUAAUAAUUGCACAGUAGAGAGAAAAGGAAAAGUCUACAAGAACUGGUGAUUACAGCCCCAGCAAAGCCCUCCCAUUACUAAUCAUAGUUACAAGAAGCACUGCCUAGGAAAGCAACAUCUAUCACCAAAGACUCACAUAGUCCAGGCCAUGCCCUCUUCUCACUACUAAUAUUGUGCAGGAGAUACAGAAGUCUUAGGCAACCACACCACCAGGUUCAGGAACAAUUAUUAUCUUGAAACUAUCAUACUCCUGCACCAGCAAGGAUAAUUCCACUCAACUCAAUGCUGAACUGAUUCCACAAUUGAUAGACUCUCUUCCAAGGACUCCAUUAUCAUUAUUCUAGUGUAGUAUAGUGUAGUAUUGUUUUUUACUUGCAUAAUUUGUCUUAUUUUGCACAUUCGUUAUUUGUAAAUCUUUGAUAUUAUAAUGUUUCAUAAAUUCUAUUGUAUUUUUAAUUUUUCUUUAAAUGGCUGCAAGAAAAUAAGUCUCAAGUAGUAUGUGGUGAUAUACACAUAUAUUAAUAAUAAAUUUACUUUGACUUUAAGAACAGUUUAAAUUUUGGAUUUUCAACAUCUGCAAUUAAAAACGUUUUAAUUAACACCUGGUUGUUUUCGCUUUGCUGUAAUAGGACCAUGCUAUGUAAAAAAAAUUGUAUACUGUGCUUCCAAUAUUUCAACAGUAUGUCAGUAACUGUGAAAACAUUUUGAGAUAUCUUGAAAGGAAGGCAGAAGAUGCUAUGUAAAUGUUGUGCAUUUAUUAUUUCAGUAAUAUUUGAGUAACAUUGUAAAUAUAUUGUUUAAGUAUUCUGUUUGUUUAAAUAAUUUAUUAUGGGCUAUUUGUAAGAGUAUGUGAAUGGCAUAUUUCAUUAUGCCACCAUAUCAUAAGGGGAUGCCUCACUAAAGUAAAAGCGAAACUAAAGUGCACAGGUUAUGCCGAGCUCCAUGUUUUUCUUUCAAUUAGUUUUAUGUUUUGGAGUUACAGAACAUAGCAGUGACGCUGAAUAAGGUUUAAAACAAAUCCAAGACUACGACCUACGUGUUGAAGUGCAGCAGGUCAUUCGAGAUUUUAAAUAAAGCUUUCUUUGCAAGAGGAGAGAAACAGUGUUGAGAAAGGGGAGAUGGAGUUUGUCAAGUUUCAAAAGCGGCAAAAAAUGGACAAAAUUCAAGAGUUCAUAAACAAAGAGUGCUCCACUAACAGCUGCAGCAUGACUGCAGGUUUGGGCUUUGUUUCUUGGAGGACACAAUUAGAAGAUCAAAUUUUAGAGGAUGACUAACCAUGGAACUGCUGAUGGAUUGUUCAGUUUACCGUUGGAAAAGGAAUGCCUGAAAACUUUACAAAGGAGGUCACUUUUUUGACGUAUUUUUCCUAAUGCAAAUCAAAAGUCUCCUUGCCGCAGUGCUAAUGAUCCAAAGGGAAACCAGAAAAGACUCCACACUGUCUCAGGUCUACAUGUCCACCCAAGGUGGCUGGAAUCUGCAGCAGAAACUCCAGUUCCUCAAUCUUUAACAGUGCCAGAAUGAUCUGACCCUUUUGUGGAGAUUGAGAGUUGUUGUACCAUUCAAACUGAGAGGUUGAGUAUUGGGAGAGUUUCAUGUUGGUCAUCUAGACAUGGUCAAAAAGAACGCAUUGCCUUGAAGCAUUGUCUGGUGGCCUGGGAUAGAUCAGCAGUUCAAGCAGCUUACCCAUGCGAAGCAGCACCUCUGCAUCCUUGGGAAUAGCCUGCAUUACGCUGGCAGAGGGUUCAUGUAGAUUUUGUCAAAUCAUUCAUGGGCACAAAUUUAAUGAUAGUAGUGGAUGCAGCUACAAAGUGGGCAGAUGUGUCCGCAAUAACCUCCACUAUAGCCUUGCACACUGUUAAUGUGCUGAGAAGCCUUUUCUCAAGGAUUGGUGUUCAAGAACACUUAGUCAGUGACAAUGGACCAGAGAACAGAGUGAUCCAGGAAUAAUGGUGCAUAGUUCCCUGAAGGUGGAAUCUCAUGUGGAUAGGGUGGUGAAGAAAGCUUUUGGUAUGUUGGCCUUUAUAAAUCAGAGCAUUGAGUAUAGGAGUUGGGAUGUAAUGUUAAAAUUGUAAAAGGCAUUGGUAAGGCCGAAUUUGCAGUAUUGUGUACAGUUCUAGUCACCGAAUUAUAGGAAAGAUGUCAACAAAAUAGAGAGAGUACAGAGAAGGUUUACUAGAACGUUACCUGGGUUUCAGCACCUAAGUUACAGGGAAAGGUUGAAUGUUAGGUCUUUAUUCUUUGGCGAGUAGAAGGUUGAGGGGGGACUUGAUAGAGGUAUUUAAAAUUAUGAGGGGGAUAGAUAGAGUUGACGUGGAUAGGCUUUUUCCAUUGAGAGUAGGGGAGAUUCAAACAAGAGGACAUGAGUUGAGAGUUAGGGGGCAAAAGUUUAAGGGUAACACGAGGGGGAAUUUCUUUACUCAGAGAGUGGUAGCUGUGUGAAACGAGCUUCCGGUAGAAGUGGUAGAGGCAGGUUCGGUAUUGUCAUUUAAAGUAAAAUUGGAUAGGUAUAUGGACAGGAAAGGAAUGGAGGGUUAUGGGCAGAGUGCGGGCCAGUGGGACUAGGUGAGAGUAAGCGUUCAGCACGGACUAGAAGGGCCGAGAUGACCUGUUUCCGUGCUGUAAUGGUUAUACGGUACGUUGUGUGAACAGCUGGAAGAUGACUGUGAUUUUGUGAGUUGGGUAGAAGGUACAAGUGCCUCAUGACUCGCACCACAUGGUUCAAGAACAGUUACUACCCCUCAAUCAUCAGGCUCGAGAACAAAACGGGAUAACUACACUCAUUUAAAGACUCUGACAUAUUGCUGUUUCAUGCUAUUUAUUGCUAGUUAUAUCUGAAUUUGCACAGUUUGUUUACAGUUAACAGUUCCUGAUGGUUACAGCUUACAGUUACUGUUCUAUAGAUUUGCUAAGUAUGCCCGCAGAAAAAGAAUCUCUGAGUACUAUGUGGUGACAUGUAUGUACUCGGAUAAUAAAUUUUACUUUGAACUUUUGUGGAGGACCUGGGAGCUCCAGAAGUCUAUUACUCCAAGGACUAUAUGCUGCUGUUGUCUUUGUUUCAAUGUUAAAGUUCUCUGACAUAUCUCUUAAUUCAUCUUUAAUAAAAUCACCACCAUUAUCACUGAAUAAAACAUAGAAACAUAGAAAACCCUCAGCACAAUACUGGCCCUCCGGCCCACAAAGUUGUGCCGAACAUGUCCCUACCUUAGAAAUUACUAGACUUCCCCAUAGCCCUCUAUUUUUCUAAGCUCCACGUACCUAUCCAAAAGUCUCUGAAAAGACCCUAUUGUAUCAGCCUCCAUCACCAUUGCUGGCAGCCCAUUCCAAACACUCACCACUCUCUGAGUAAAAAACUUACCCCUGACAUCUCCUCUGUACCUACUCCCCAGCACCUUAAACCCAUGUCCUCUUGUGGAACCAUUUCAGCCCUGGGAAAAAGCCUCUGAUUUUUCACAUGAUCAGUGCCUCUCAUCAUCUUGUACACCUCUAUCAGGUCACCUCUCAUCCUCUGUCGCUCCAAGGAGAAAAGGCCGAGUUCACUCAAUCUGUUUUCAUAAGGCAUGCUCCACAAUCCAGGCAACAUCCUUGUAAAUCUCCUCUACACCCUUUCUGUGGCUUCCACAUCCUUCCUGUAAUGAGGCGACCAGAACUGAGCACAGUACUCCAAGUGGGGUCUGACCAGGGUCCUUAAAUGAAUACUUUACAUAGUGGGGCAUGCACACUUAUCCAGGAAUGGAUGAAGUUUUUUUUUAACCAUCUCUGAGGGUCUCUGUAUUUACUAUGCUACCAGCACUGAAACGUGUGAACUCAUAAAUGAUGUGGAGAUACCAUACUCCUUGCUCCAGUUCAUGUAACUCUAUGGCUACUGUUUCCUUGUAUUUCGAUGCUCGUGGAUGACCAACCACAGGCUUGGGCUUUGGUUUGCCAAACUUUUGGCACGUCUCACAGGUGUCAAUUAUCUGCUUUAGGAUGGAAAAAUAAUCUGUAACUUUGAAUUCCUGAGCAGUUUCUGAAGUCUAACAACUGACGCAUGUCAAAACUGCUUGUGAAGAUUGAGCAACACUUUACAUUUCUCAUCUAUGGUCAUGUUUGUGUGACAGUUAGUACUUCAUUCUCACACUGGUUCUCAAGUAGUGUUUACCUGGAAUGUUCACACAAUGAUGCCCAGAGCUAGUGAGCUUAAGACGCUGGCUGUUGAAACAUCAUUGCUUGGUCAUUCUCCAUAUCCAGCACUGCUCCUGCUUUCUUUAGGGAAGAGUUACUCAAGAGUAAUAGAUUUACUCAAGAUAGUUCACUGGUACCACCUCCAUUUCAAUGUAACAUUUUGUCUGCCCUAUUUUUUGCAGGGAUUUUCACUCUUUUGGUGGAAUGUACAAUCUUUCCAUCUCCAAAUUUGAAUGUUUUACUACUAAGUGAAUCUGUGUUCUCCAGUUUCUGCAUUUCAUUCUGGUCUAGUUCACUCACAUAGCUUUCAAGCCAUGUUUCUCUGCACACUUUGUGUGCGCGCAUGCUGUACCAACAACAGCAGAUCCUAGAGAUUCUAUCAUCAAGAUCUCUCCCUCAGAUGUCCCUGCAUUAGUAAGUGAUUCCUUCACAAACAAUGUGAUAUGGUUCUCUUCUACAUCUUCAGAUUUGUUCGUUUUCUUCAGUUAGCCUAACUUGUUCGGUUCCAUGUGGCCAGUUUCUUGCCCAAUGGUAAAUACUUUAACACAUUUCAAUUUCCUACUGUACUUGUGUGGUGAACUACAUAUACCUGUCUGGACACCCCCCCCCCCCCCAGCUGACUGCUCCUGUGGCUCCUCCCACGGACCCCGCUAUAAAGGCGAUUGGGGCCUGAGCUCCGGCCUCAGUCUCCAGGAUGUAGUGUGGUGGUCAAUUGCUGCUUGUUCUUUCUUCCAGCCAAUAUAAGCCUAUAUCUCGCCUCACGUCUCCGAGAGUUAUUGAUGGUGCAUCAACUUGUUUUUUGAAUUUGUUGCCAGAUAAUGGUACUUUUGUCUGGUCACUCUGGGAUCUAUGCUUGUUUCUGCUCAGUGAAGUAUGCUGUUUCCUGACUCAAACUAAUUCCGACUGUUGUCUUAAUGGGCUUUACUCCAAAAAUCCUCUUCAGUGCUGGUUUCAUAGAUGCAAAUGUAAGUUCUGUGCAUGCAGUUAAUGCUAGCUGUCUGUCCUUUAUAUCUAGACACACCGUUUCCAUCACUUUUCAAGCUAAUACAGUGUCAGCAAAUUACAUUUUGUAUUUACACAUACGACUGUACUUUUCAAAAUCAAUAAUAUAAUCAGCCAUAUUUUUAGAAUUGUCUCUAUAAAUUUUGUCAAAGUCUGAAUAUUCCUCAUAAAUCCAAUUCUUCUUUUCAAUUUUGCUAAAACAGAGCCAAGUGUACAUAUUUAUUAGUGUUAUUCAUACCGUCAUCU
This is a long non-coding RNA of Hypanus sabinus (Atlantic stingray), 17451 nucleotides long. RefSeq lists it as uncharacterized. The record is from RefSeq and is a predicted model, not a curated record. Lineage: Eukaryota; Metazoa; Chordata; Chondrichthyes; Myliobatiformes; Dasyatidae. The transcript is spliced from 4 exons.